This 301-nucleotide ribosomal RNA is filed under the name uncultured bacterium. RNAcentral describes it as "partial 16S ribosomal RNA". It matches the Rfam family "Bacterial small subunit ribosomal RNA", at positions 509 to 807 of the family's 1533-position model. The record is from RNAcentral.
CAGCCGCCGCGGUAAUACGGAGGGAGCUAGCGUUGUUCGGAAUUACUGGGCGUAAAGCGCACGUAGGCGGCUAUUCAAGUCAGAGGUGAAAGCCCGGGGCUCAACCCCGGAACUGCCUUUGAAACUAGAUAGCUUGAAUCCAGGAGAGGUGAGUGGAAUUCCGAGUGUAGAGGUGAAAUUCGUAGAUAUUCGGAAGAACACCAGUGGCGAAGGCGGCUCACUGGACUGGUAUUGACGCUGAGGUGCGAAAGCGUGGGGAGCAAACAGGAUUAGAUACCCCUGUAGUCCCUGUCUCUUAUAC